RNAcentral lists this ribosomal RNA (1496 nucleotides) under uncultured Bordetella sp. RNAcentral describes it as "partial 16S-23S ribosomal RNA intergenic spacer". It matches the Rfam family "Bacterial small subunit ribosomal RNA". The record is from RNAcentral. Lineage: Bacteria; Pseudomonadati; Pseudomonadota; Betaproteobacteria; Burkholderiales; Alcaligenaceae.
CAGGUAGUAACAGAGGGUUUGAUUCUGGCUCAGAUUGAACGCUGGCGGGAUGCUUUACACAUACCUGCAGUCGAACGGCAGCACGGACUUCAGUCUGGUGGCGAGUGGCGAACAGGUGGUAAUGUAUCGGAACGUGCUAGUAGCGGGGGAUAACUACGCGAAAGCGUAGCUAAUACCGCAUACGCCCUUCGGGGAAAAGCGGGGACCUUCGGGCCUCGCACUAUUAGAGCGGCCGAUAUCGGAUUAGCUGGUGGUGGGGUAACGGCUCACCAAGGCGACGAUCCGUAGCUGGUUUGAAGAGGACGACCAGCCACACUGGGACUGAGACACGGCCCAGACUCCUACGGGGAAGCAGCAGUGGGGUAUUUUGGACAAUGGGGGAAACCCUGAUCCAGCCAUCCCGCGUGUGCGAUGAAGGCCUUCGGGUUGUAAAGCACUUUUGGCAGGAAAGAAACGGCCUGGGAUAAUACCCCGUGCAACUGACAGUACCUGCAGAAUAAGCACCGGCUAACUACGUGCCAGCAGCCGCGGUAAUACGUAGGAGUGCAAGCGUUAAUCAGACACUGGGCGUAAAGCGUGCGCAGAACGGUUCGGAAGAAAGAUGUGAAAUCGACUUAACUUUGGAACUGCGUGCACCAACUACCGAGCUAGAGUGUCAGAGGGAGGUGGAAUUCCGCGUGUAGCAGUGAAAUGCGUAUAGAUAUGCGGAGGAACACCGAUAACGAAGGCAGCCUCCUGGGAUAACACUGACGCUCAUGCACGAAAGCGUGGGGAGCAAACAGGAUUAGAUACCCUGGUAGUCCACGCCCUAAACGAUGUCAACUAGCUGUUGGGGCCUUCGGGCCUUGGUAGCGCAGCUAACGCGUGAAGUUGACCGCCUGGGAGUACGGUCGCAAGAUUAAAACUCAAAGGAAUUGACGGGGACCCACUGGCGGUGGAUGAUGUGGAUUAAUUCGAUGCAACGCGAAAAACCUUACCUACCCUUGACAUGUCUGGAAUCUCAGAAAGAGAGAUUUGGGGUACUCGCAAGAACCGGAGAACACAGAUGCUGCAUGGCUGUCGUCAACUCGUGUCGUGAGAUGUUGGAUUAAGUCCGCAACGAGCGCAACCCUUGUCAUUGGAUUGCUACGAAGACGCUCUAAUGAGACUGCCGGUGACAAACCGGAGGAGGUGAGGAUGACGUCAAAGUCCUCAUGGCCCUUAUGGGUGGACUUCACACGUCAUACAAUGGUCCGGGACAGAGGGUCGCCAACCCACGAGGGAGCCAAUCCCAGAAACCCGAUCGUAGUCCGGAUCGCAGUCUGCAACUCGACUGCGUGAAGUCAGGAUCGCUAGUAAUCGCGGAUCAGCAUGUCGCGGUGAAUACGUUCCAGAUCUUGUACACACCGCCCGUCACACCAUGGGAGUGGGUUUUACCAGAAGUAGUUAACCUAACCGUAAGGAGGGCGAUUACCACGGUAGGAUUCAUGACUGGGGUGAAGUCGUAACAAGGUAGC